AAAAAGACAAAACUUGGUUUCCGUGUCCAAUGUUUGACCGUUUGUCUUAUUUGAAAAAAUUAUGAAAAAAAUUAAAAAGACAAGUCACGCAUAAAAUAUUAAUCAUGUUUUAUCAUCUAACAACAAUGAAAAUACGAAUUAUAAAAAAAUUUCAUAUAAGAUGGACAGUCAAAGUUGGACACGAAAACCCAGGGUUUGCCUUUUU
RNAcentral lists this microRNA precursor (205 nucleotides) under Oryza barthii. RNAcentral's name for it is "MIR812 microRNA precursor family". It matches the Rfam family "MIR812 microRNA precursor family". Lineage: Eukaryota; Viridiplantae; Streptophyta; Magnoliopsida; Poales; Poaceae. The record is from Rfam by way of RNAcentral.